UGGGGAAUAUUGCACAAUGGGCGAAAGCCUGAUGCAGCAACGCCGCGUGAGCGAUGAAGGCCUUCGGGUCGUAAAGCUCUGUCCUCAAGGAAGCGGUACUUGAGGAGGAAGCCCCGGCUAACUACGUGCCAGCAGCCGCGGUAAUACGUAGGGGGCUAGCGUUAUCCGGAAUUACUGGGCGUAAAGGGUGCGUAGGUGGUUUUUAAGUCAGAAGUGAAAGGCUACGGCUCAACCGUAGUAAGCUUUUGAAACUGAAGAACUUGAGUGCAGGAGAGGAGAGUAGAAUUCCUAGUGUAGCGGUGAAAUGCGUAGAUAUUAGGAGGAAUACCAGUAGCGAAGGCGGCUCUCUGGACUGUAACUGACACUGAGGCACGAAAGCGUGGGGAGCAAACAGGAUUAGAUACCCGUGUAGU
This 413-nucleotide ribosomal RNA is filed under the name uncultured bacterium. Its description in RNAcentral is "bacterial SSU rRNA". It matches the Rfam family "Bacterial small subunit ribosomal RNA", at positions 355 to 794 of the family's 1533-position model. The record is from RNAcentral.